Long non-coding RNA from Triticum aestivum (bread wheat), 1496 nucleotides. RefSeq lists it as uncharacterized. The record is from RefSeq and is a predicted model, not a curated record. NCBI's taxonomy places the organism in Eukaryota, Viridiplantae, Streptophyta, Magnoliopsida, Poales, Poaceae. The transcript has 2 exons.
GAGUUUUUUAACACAAAGAAAAGGAGAAAAUAGAAAUAAAGAGGAAAACAAAGGGCACGAUACGAGCCCUUGGCUAUCAGGUUUUCUGUGCGCGUGUGUUGGUGUGAUUUGAUGUGAUUGAUCCUGAGGGCGUAUUUCCAACAAUUGGUAUCUAGAGAAAGGUUGAGGUCAAGCUGCGCUUGCCCCGGGGUGGCGACCCGACUAGCGCCUCGGGGCGGGCCAUAUAGUCGUCGGGUGGUACAACGACGAGGAGGAACGGGCGAUCUAGUCGCUGGGUGGUGCAGCGACGUGAAGGGUCAUGCGGUUGUUCGUUCGGCAGAGCGACAAUGAGAAGGUGGCAAGGACAUUGUCGUAAGCGAGGCAACAAGUGAUUGUCGUUCGGCAGAACGACCUGGAGGAGGGCAAAAGGGCUGUUGUCGACAAGGUGUUGGUGAUCGUUGAUGGUUAUGGAGGUGCCGAACUUGCGACACCGAGGAAAUCAUCGAGAUCAUCGUUGGAGGGUGCAAGGUGGAGAUGGCGAAGCUGUGAGCCGUCAUCAAGGUGUGCACAUGAGUUCUUGUAAGGUGCGUCCAAGAGUUCGGGUGUGUGAAUCUUCUGCUGCAGUUAAGAUGCGUCACUGGCAGGGGAGAAUUGCAAGCGUGAGCGGGCGGAAAAAGGAAUUUGUGCCUUGCGUUUUCGUUCGUGGUCGUGGAGUUCCGGCGAGUUCAUAUACGGUGGAGGUGAGUUGCACGUAUAUGACGAGUUGUGUUGCCGCUGGACAGGAGGUGUCGUUCGAUAAGACGUGGCAUCGGCGACAAUGAGAAAGAUUGAAGAUGUGGCGGGUGAAGAGAUGUGUCUCCCCGUGUGUGAGCAAGUAGUCGUCGAGAAGAUGGAGAUCAACGUGAAGAGGACGCGCACCGGUUAAGUUGAGUUCCUGCAUGAGGCUAUGCAUUUAGUCUGCAUGUAGCACGCUAAGUUGUGGCAGCGUGGCUGGUAGUCCGGGUAAUCGUUGGUUUCAGUUUUUCAAGUCGGCACAAAAGUAUAAUGGUGAUGACGUGGUGGCCAUCGUUGCAAGAAGAGAGAAGCUGAUGUCCGGCCCGGGGCGCGCACGACGGCGGAGCGGCGGUCCGCGAGCAAGAAGAGCGUGGCGGUAGGCGUCGCUAGGGAGGACGAGGCACGGCGCCUCCGGCAUGUGGAAGGCGGCGGCGAAGGCGAGGCGGUCGAUGAGGCACAGGCGAGCUUGGAUGUUGGCUAGCAUGUCCGGCGGGAGGCCGGAGACGCCUGCUGCGGCGGCGGCGGCGUCUGCUCGAUUCCGUAGCAUUGGAUUGGGGAUUGGAGGGUGGUCUGCGUGGUCCGAUCGGGAAUCAACGGUUCAAAAAUUGAGUAGCAGCCUACGUACCCUAGUCCGUUUUCUGCUGUGCCCGUCCCUGUUCUUUUGGAUCUCAACGGUUGCUAGGCCUGCGUGCCACUUGUAUAGCGCAAUCCUUUUUUUUAUGGUAAUAUGUGUCUCAUAUAUA